CGAAGGAUAUGGAGGUACUUCUUCUGCUGCUAUGAUCUACUACUAGCUGUGAUACAGUAUUUUGGUUCGUUUGUCUUCCGGAAUUAUCCUGAUGGUUGGCAUGUGCAUAUAAGUAAUUGAUUCAUGCAGGGGGUUGUUAGAGAUAUCAGGUCUCUGAAUACUAGGCCUAACAAUGCAAAUGGUGCAAAGCUGCUCCCCCAAUGAAGACCACAGAGAAACCAAGAUGUAGAAGCAAAUGGAUAGCCCCCUGAUGAACCAAACAUCAGCAGCAAAUGGAAGCCCCAUGAUCACCCAUACACCAGUAGGAAAUGGAAGGCCCCAGAUGAAUCAAACACCAGUAACAGAUGGAAGGCCACAGUUGUACCAGACACCAGGGAUAAAUAAAAGACCUCAGAAGGAACACUUAUAUACCCUCUAAUCUGGAUCACUGAAGUAACAGUUUUCACGAUGGAUGUGUUAAAAAAGGUUUCUGUUAGUAUGCUUACUGAGACUCCAAAUUCUGAAAACCUCGAACGGAACUGCUAAAUAUAUGUAAACUUCUCAAAAGAUGAGGAAAUUGACAUUCUUAUCUGCAUGAUCUUGUGGAAUAUGCUUAUUUUCAUGACAUAACUAGUUUAACGCUGGCAGUUCAAAUCUUGAAAUAGAACACAUUGUAUUGCUCCACCAGAACCCACACUUUCUCUUUCUUCAGGAAGAUUAUAGUCAUGACUUUCGGUUGUAGUACAAAUAUGUCUCUGCUCUGCAUAUACAUGUCUUCACUGUUUUGCUCUUUAUGUCCUUGUCAGGUUUUGGAUUCUGAUAAUGCUUGCUUGUUAAUACCAGCCUCCCCGUACCUUCCAUUUAUUCUACUAGAGAGGGAGAUCUGAAUCCAAAUGUAGAACAGGGAAAGGUAAAAGCAGCUCGAUUGGUUGGUUCAAGAUACAGGCUGGCACCAACACAGAAAGAGGUGACGGAUUGAAAGGUCAAUCCACAAGAGCGAACUAAGAAGGAACCACUCAGAAUAAUCAUCGAUCCAGACAAUGAUGGUGAAGGCCGUACUUCCCGGGCGAUUCUCAACGUAGAACCAGCUGACCUGAUGAAAGAAGCCGGCAGCGAGUGGGGCCUGCAGCUUGUGUGCGGGGCGAGGAAGAGGAGGACGAGAAGUGAAACACUGUCCAUUGAUGCUGCCGCCUUGCUGCUAGGAGAAGGCGAGAGGAGGAGGCAGGAACCUGGGCCAGAAGCACAGAAGGACGAGGCUAUUCACGCGGUAAGCUGCUCCAGCAAAGCCAGCUUGCCGGUGCAACCCCAAGUACGACACGACCCAGGGGAUCACCUGAGGCGGCCUGAGCAGCCAUGUCGGCGCCGCACACACCAACGGAAAAAGGUUGUUCGACUUUGGCAACAUCGAAGCACAUAGUAUCACUUGACCCAUGAUCCCCACAACUCAAACACAUGCACAUUAUAGAUCUCCAGAGAGGUAAAGUCCUUUUUUCAACCAUUUCAACUGUUGUUUACACGAGUUCCACAUGAUGAACAAACUGAA
Molecule: non-coding RNA, 1522 nt
Organism: Aegilops tauschii subsp. strangulata
Lineage: Eukaryota; Viridiplantae; Streptophyta; Magnoliopsida; Poales; Poaceae
Source: RefSeq, a predicted model, not a curated record